GGGAGAGAACACAGGAGAGGGGUAGGACUUGAUCGUAGGAGUUUAUUACAGACCUCUAAACCAAGAGGAACAGCUCAGCCAAGCAUUCUCUAGAGAACUGGCAGAGCUGCAUGCUCAUGGACCAUGGUCAUAAUGGGUAACUUCAAUUACCCAGACAUCUUGUGGGAUUAGCACUCAGCUAGA
Molecule: long non-coding RNA, 183 nt
Organism: Gavialis gangeticus (Gharial)
Lineage: Eukaryota; Metazoa; Chordata; Crocodylia; Gavialidae
Exons: 3
Source: RefSeq, a predicted model, not a curated record